ACCGCGAUAGCUCAGCUGGUUGAGCAUCUGCCCGGGAUGCGGAGGGUCGCCGGUUUGAUUCCGGCUCGCGGCG
Molecule: transfer RNA, 73 nt
Filed under: Fasciola gigantica
Lineage: Eukaryota; Metazoa; Platyhelminthes; Trematoda; Plagiorchiida; Fasciolidae
Rfam family: tRNA
About the family: Transfer RNA (tRNA) molecules are approximately 80 nucleotides in length. Their secondary structure includes four short double-helical elements and three loops (D, anti-codon, and T loops).
Source: Rfam by way of RNAcentral